ACGCUGGCGGCGUGCCUAACACAUGCAAGUCGAGCGAGGAAUGACUGGUAGCUUGCUACUGGUUAUUCCUAGCGGCGGACGGGUGAGUAACGCGUGGGUAACCUGCCUUGUACUGGGGGACAACAGUUGGAAACGACUGCUAAUACCGCAUAAGCGCACAGCUUCGCAUGAAGCGGUGUGAAAAACUCCGGUGGUACAAGAUGGACCCGCGUCUGAUUAGCUGGUUGGUGAGGUAACGGCCCACCAAGGCGACGAUCAGUAGCCGGCCUGAGAGGGUGACCGGCCACAUUGGGACUGAGACACGGCCCAGACUCCUACGGGAGGCAGCAGUGGGGAAUAUUGCACAAUGGAGGAAACUCUGAUGCAGCGACGCCGCGUGAGUGAAGAAGUAUUUCGGUAUGUAAAGCUCUAUCAGCAGGGAAGACAGUGACGGUACCUGACUAAGAAGCUCCGGCUAAAUACGUG
RNAcentral lists this ribosomal RNA (465 nucleotides) under uncultured bacterium. RNAcentral describes it as "bacterial SSU rRNA". It matches the Rfam family "Bacterial small subunit ribosomal RNA", at positions 33 to 507 of the family's 1533-position model. The record is from RNAcentral.